GACGAACGCUGGCGGCGUGCUUAACACAUGCAAGUCGAACGGAAAGGCCCCUUUGGGGGUACUCGAGUGGCGAACGUGUGAGUAACACGUGAGUAACCUGCCCUUGACGUCGGGAUAACUUAAGGAAACUGGGGCUAAUACCGGAUAGGAAUCCUUGCUGCCUGGUGGGGGUUGGAAAGCUUCGGCGGGUUUGGAUUGACUCGCGGCGUAUCAGCUUGUUGGUGGGGUAGUGGCUUACCAAGGCUUUGACGGGUAGCCGGCCUGAGAGGGCGACCGGCCACAUUGGGACUGAGACACGGCCCAGGCCCCUACGGGAGGCAGCAGUGGGGAAUAUUGCUCAAUGGGCGGAAGCCUGAUGCAGGCACGCCGCGCGCGGGAUGACGGGAUUCGGGUUGGAAGCCGCAUUCAGCAGGGGCGAAGCUUGUGGUGACGGUACCUGCAGAAGAAGCACCGGCUAACUACGUG
RNAcentral lists this ribosomal RNA (465 nucleotides) under uncultured bacterium. RNAcentral's name for it is "partial 16S ribosomal RNA". It matches the Rfam family "Bacterial small subunit ribosomal RNA", at positions 28 to 507 of the family's 1533-position model. The record is from RNAcentral.